AUUGAACGCUGGCGGCAUGCUUUACACAUGCAAGUCGAACGGUAACAGGGAGCUUGCUCCGCUGACGAGUGGCGAACGGGUGAGUAAUGCAUCGGAACGUACCCAGUCGUGGGGGAUAACGUAGCGAAAGUUACGCUAAUACCGCAUACGUCCUGAGGGAGAAAGCGGGGGACCGUAAGGCCUCGCGCGAUUGGAGCGGCCGAUGUCGGAUUAGCUAGUUGGUAGGGUAAAGGCCUACCAAGGCGACGAUCCGUAGCGGGUCUGAGAGGAUGAUCCGCCACACUGGGACUGAGACACGGCCCAGACUCCUACGGGAGGCAGCAGUGGGGAAUUUUGGACAAUGGGGGCAACCCUGAUCCAGCCAUGCCGCGUGAGUGAAGAAGGCCUGGUUGUAAGACUCUUCGU
Molecule: ribosomal RNA, 405 nt
Filed under: uncultured bacterium
Lineage: Bacteria
Description: bacterial SSU rRNA
Rfam family: Bacterial small subunit ribosomal RNA
Source: RNAcentral